This 254-nucleotide ribosomal RNA is filed under the name uncultured bacterium. RNAcentral's name for it is "partial 16S ribosomal RNA". It matches the Rfam family "Bacterial small subunit ribosomal RNA", at positions 524 to 776 of the family's 1533-position model. The record is from RNAcentral.
UACGAAGGGGGCUAGCGUUGUUCGGAUUUACUGGGCGUAAAGCGCACGUAGGCGGAUCGUUAAGUCGGGGGUGAAAUCCUGGAGCUCAACUCCAGAACUGCCUUCGAUACUGGCGAUCGUCGAGUCCGGAAGAGGUGAGUGGAACUCCUAGUGUAGAGGUGGAAUUCGUAGAUAUUAGGAAGAACACCAGUGGCGAAGGCGACUCACUGGUCCGGUACUGACGCUGAGGUGCGAAAGCGUGGGGAGCAAACAGG